UCGAGUAAGCAGGGGGGCUUUUUCGUGCCGCCGCCGCGUGUUUCACACAUGGGACACGGCAACGCAAAAGCUGAGAUGGGCGUAUGCCCGGACCCUUCGAACCUGUUGGCCAAUACCAUCGUAGGGAGCGUUCUUCGUGGCUCU
This 144-nucleotide non-coding RNA is filed under the name Bifidobacterium gallicum. RNAcentral's name for it is "TPP sequence". It matches the Rfam family "TPP riboswitch aptamer (THI element)". Rfam says of the family: Vitamin B(1) in its active form thiamin pyrophosphate (TPP) is an essential coenzyme that is synthesised by coupling of pyrimidine and thiazole moieties in bacteria. The previously detected thiamin-regulatory element, thi box was extended, resulting in a new, highly conserved RNA secondary structure, the THI element, which is widely distributed in eubacteria and also occurs in some archaea. The record is from RNAcentral. Lineage: Bacteria; Bacillati; Actinomycetota; Actinomycetes; Bifidobacteriales; Bifidobacteriaceae.